This 487-nucleotide unclassified non-coding RNA is filed under the name Hevea brasiliensis (rubber tree). Lineage: Eukaryota; Viridiplantae; Streptophyta; Magnoliopsida; Malpighiales; Euphorbiaceae. The record is from RNAcentral.
AAAAAAAAAAAAACCUAAAAAAAACCUCAUCUUUUGCGAGCUAUAUAUGUGUAGAACUAGAAAGAUAAUUUAUGAUCUUAACUCACUAGUCGAUGAUCUUAGCUUAAGAAACAAGAAGUGAAAGACUUGUAGAAAGAUAGAAAAUUAGAUAGAAAGUUGAGAGAGAGUGAGACAAGCAGCUUAAAACUUCCCAAAUCAGCAGAAACAAAGCAUGAGGAAGAGCUAUUGCCCUCAUUUGGACAAAAACAAGGUGCAGUAAUGGACCGUUACUAUUACUUAACGGUAAAUAAUGGCCGGUAUCGUUGUGUAAAAACCGCUAAGGCCGUUAUAGGUGCAUUUUUUAUGUUGCUUUUAACCAAUGAGUGUAAUGAUAACAGGAGGUAAAAAAACUUUUAAAUAAUGGUUGUUACAUUAUUUAAAACAUAAGAAGAACAGCGAGUACCAAGGAGGGGCAUAUUUGUGGUACUGGAGAGAGAGAGAGAGAGAG